UUGGGCCUGCCGGGGCUAGUGGGACCUAGCUCUUGCCCGGGCUUCUUCUCUCGCACUGGAGGGCGUUUGGGCUCGGUCAGGGGGCCUUUUGCCCGGGUUUGAGACAGCACUAGAGCUGCUCUUAGCCAUGGCAAGGGGGGAGCUAUGUCAGCCACUAUUCACAUGAAUAGUGGUUGCCAUUGCAAAUAGUAUUUUGUGUUUCCAC
This 205-nucleotide long non-coding RNA is filed under the name Prunus persica (peach). RNAcentral's name for it is "long non-coding RNA (PPER_LNC006841)". Lineage: Eukaryota; Viridiplantae; Streptophyta; Magnoliopsida; Rosales; Rosaceae. The record is from RNAcentral.